This is a long non-coding RNA of Pecten maximus, 516 nucleotides long. RefSeq lists it as uncharacterized. The transcript is spliced from 3 exons. NCBI's taxonomy places the organism in Eukaryota, Metazoa, Mollusca, Bivalvia, Pectinida, Pectinidae. The record is from RefSeq and is a predicted model, not a curated record.
AAUAAAACGUCUGUGUGAUCUUGACUACUCUAUGGCGAUCAACGUUUGUGAGACGCUUCCAAAACACAGCAUGGCUAACAUCAAAAACACUAUCAAGCAAUGCUGUUCCGACCCGUUUAUACGAAAAUUAGUGCUCAGUUGGGGCCUUUUUCUAGGAGCCAUCUACAUUGCACGUGAUAUGUCGGCUGCAGAGGAUAUGGCAGCUGCAGAAAUGGCAGCAGCUGCAACAGCAGGGGUGGCUGAUCAGGCAGGAAAACUGGCAGGAGAGGUCUCCCGACUUGCUACAAACUGAUGUAUUUAACAAAACUACCAUCUCUAUCAGAUUCUGGAAAAUCUGAUUGGUCCCAGUGACUUUGGCAAAAUUCCAUUUGAAGAGUGUGCGAUUGUUACAGUGCAAGUGGCAAAUUAAACAUAAAUAGUGGAUGGCGACAAUGACAAUUUGUUAAGAGUACAUGUUUUAAAUGUUGUUGUGUAUUAAACUUGUGCGAGUGGCUGGAUACCAUAUCUAAAUACAAA